Mya arenaria is the source of this 3601-nucleotide long non-coding RNA. RefSeq lists it as uncharacterized. The transcript is spliced from 4 exons. The record is from RefSeq and is a predicted model, not a curated record. NCBI's taxonomy places the organism in Eukaryota, Metazoa, Mollusca, Bivalvia, Myida, Myidae.
UGUGUACACAUGCUUGUGUAUUGGAGUGAGAUCUGCAUUUGCAUUGACAUUUGUCACUCAGUAGAAGGCGGGAAGCUACACAAAGCGACACAAAGUGCUGGACAUUUGGAUAAACUUGAUCUGUUUGUAGAUCAUGAAUAGUUGCCCUAAACAGAUGAACGACCAUUGCACCACCAUGACCAGAUGACCGCCGACGCCUCCUCGCCUGAUUCAACAUAAUCACCUACGUAACGUCACCAUGGUCAUCGCCUGGUCCUCUGUUAUUUCAUGUAGGACGUCACCAUGGUACCUUACGCCUCUCCACCCGGCCUCUUUACGUACGGUGACACGCUUCUCCAAAUGUGCACUAGCGAACGUCGACAAGAAUACCAACGAAAGAUAAGUUUCAUUUUUUAAUACUUUUUGGUAGUAGAAUGUUCGAAGAGAAAUCUGCUUGACAUUCGCAUAUGUUUCUAUAAAAAGUUUUAGCUAAAAACGAAUGUUUAGACCUUAAAGGUCACUUUAUAUUUUAUAAGCUUUACAUUUAUGAAUCAAAAGUUCAUGGGAAAAACUUAAUUUUAAGGAAAAUUGUAUAAAUGAAAAACAAAACACAUUGAUCUCAUACAAAAGAAGUGUUAGUCUAGUAUGAAAAAAAUCGUCUCAUUCUUCGUAAUAAUUAAAAAAAAUAACUUAAGAAAUACACGAAAAUCAGAUAGGCAUUUUUUGCUGGUAUAAGCAAUUUUACAGUGAAAAUGCUAAAGGCGCCAGCAUGUUUCCCAAAAUUGCUGUUACCGAACCAUGGUAGCUGAAAAUGUUUAUUCCAUUUUCGUGUAUAUUAAAUAUAUAUUCUUGCACAUUAGUGCAAACAUUUUUGGCUAAUUGUAGGGGGCUUUGUUUGUAUGAGAUUAAUGAUACUAAUUAGAAUAGUAUAUAUAAUAGUGAUUACAGCCUUCUAGCGGUAAUCGCGUUUAUUUACACACAAGACGUUGUCACUUUGCGGUUCUGUGAGUACGAAUGUAAACGAGUAUGAAAUGCGUGGGGCGAAUAUGUCUCGUCCUUUCCGUUUCCGGUUCCAAGCAACUUAAUAUAGACUUAACAAUGUGAAAGGCUUAUGAAAUAUGAAGUGAACAAUAUAUCAUAUGUUUUACAUUUAUUUGUAUUUAUUAUGAUGUAUUAUAUAAACUCUAUAAUGAAAGCAAUGUACAUGCAUUGUUUUUAAGCGUCCACUGUUCCGGAAGUGUCGCUUCGUCCAACCGGAAAUGAUGAUGCUUGCAACCGGAAGUGAUGCCCCUGCAACCGGAAAUGAUGAUGCUUGCAACCGGAAGUGAUGCCCCUGCAACCGGAAGUGACGCCCCCCCUACAUUCGGAAGUGAUGCUCCAUCAACGAGCGGCCAUGUUUCAGUGUCCCGACAAGCCAGAAGACCGUCGACCCGGGCCGUUCCACUGACGGGCGGAUUGUUUGUUGACGGACCCGACCCAUUCCACUGACGGUGAACUCCUUUAACUAUGGUGUUACCGUGUCUGAGAACGGAUCGUUUUGCAUCUAGAAAGUCGUAAAGAAAAUUGGCCAUUCCAAGAGAACACACGGACAUUUAAACUUCCAAAUAAUUGAUUGUCAAGUUAACUACAUUAGAACCUUAUUGAAUAAUCAGAGUCUUGUGUUGUGAUGUGACCAUCUAACAUUCUUAUGAUGAGACAUAAGUUGGACUUAAAGUUAAAACAUAUACUUACUUAUACAAUAUACAAAUACAAUAUAUGUUAUUGAAAUUUGAAAUCACUUCUGUCAUACCAUAUAAUGUUAAAUUGUUGAUUAUCUGUGAAUUAUGAAAGCUUACCAUUGAGGCCACUGUUAAUGUAUUUCUUGUUUCACUGUUAUUUGAAAAAAAUGUAGGGUAUGUAGAUUAAACAUCGAACAACAAAGCUUUUAACAUGACUGCAAAAAGGGUACACAUAUUUUGCGUAUGGGAUGUUUUCAUACCUUUAUCAAAUAGCCAAAGGAGCUGUAUUUAAUGUCCUUUAAUACAUACUUUUUACAUAGCUGUAUAUAAUGUUAUGGGGUUUGAAAUAUGAGAAUGAUUUCAGUUUUUUUCUCUUUUUAUGGCAAGUAUUGUGAAAAAAAAUCACUUAACAGUGGCUUUAUCUUAUGAAAUGUUAGAUUAUCACAAAUUUAUGAAAUGAUUUACUUAUAUAUAAGAAUAUGAUUUAUAUGUGUUUGUGUUGAUGAAUUCCAAUUUAUCUAUAUGAUGCAGUAUCACACAUUUAUAUAACUGGAUGAUUUUAUUUUGUAAAAUUUUCAAUUUUUGAAAAGAAGUUUAUUAAGGUUGAAAAUUUCAGCAAAUUUAGAUCAAGUGUAUAUUUUUUAUUUCUGAAUAUUUUUACUGAUAACACUUUAUAUAUGAAUAUAACUGGCAACUAUUUGACUUGUACUUUGCAACUAUUUGACUUAUACUUGGCAACUAUUUGACGUAUACUUGGCAACUAUUUGACGUAUACUUUGCAACUAUUUGACAUAUACUUGGCAACUAUUUGACCUAUACUUUGCAACUAUUUGACUUAUACUUGGCAAUUAAGCAUUUUUGUUUUACCUUUUUAAAUUGGAUAGAGUGUGAAUAGAGAAAGCCUUCAAUUGUUUAAAUUUAUUUUCAAAAACAACAACAUGUGAAUGGACAGACGGACAAAAUGCCACAUUAUAAAAAAAAUAUACAACUAAAUGUGUUAUUGCAUCAUAUUAAUCAGUAUUUAUUUUUGUAUAUUUGAUGACUUUUAUGUUGAUAUGAAACAAAUCAAAUUGGUAUAAUAGUGACAAUAAUAAUGCACAAAAUAUAUUUAAUUUUUUUUUUACUCUCUCUCUCUCUAUAACUAGAUAUUGUAAAUCCUUCUUUUUUCCAAUGUGUUAAAAUUUCAAAACACCUGUAAAGAUUCUUUAAAUAGUUUGUACAAUCAAAAAAGUUUUUUAUUUCAAUUUUAAAAACAAUAACGAUUAUUGUGCUUUCAAUAAAGAAUCUAGGCGCCAGUUUCUUUAUGAAAGUUGUAUUUAAAUCAGUCGGUGAAUUGCUGCAGCUUGUUCACUUGUUAUCGCACUCUAACACUAACUCUACAUGACAUACUUUAGUAAUUGACCGACUGAAAACGUAUUUUAUAUUGGGAUAUUUGUACAAACUAUUUAUUUUCUCCUUUUAUCAACUUGUCUAGUUACUUUUGGAUCUAUGAAACAUAUUUAAACAUUAUUUUUAAAGAACAAAACACGUUUGGCGUUCUAUUUUAAAACCAUAAAAAGUACUUUUUUUAAUGUGCAUAAAACAGUCACACUGAUUGAUUUGUUUCUUGAUGGUAAUUUAAUGUUUCUCGUUUAUAAAUGAAAUGCUAUAUAUAAAAGAAUAAAAUGAUGGAACAAAAUGUGUUUAAUUACUAAAGAUUCAAGACAUAUUGUCACGUGAUACACAUGUGUAAUACGUCAUUAAAAUGGCCGAUCAUGUGACUUUUAGGUACCACGUGAUCUCAAGUUUUGAUGACGUAUGCAACAAAAUAUACAUGUGUAGUACGUCAUCGAAAUGGCGGAUCAUGUGACCUUUUGGUGUUUCACGUGAUCUCGAAUUUUGAUGACGUAUGCAACAAAACUCGC